This is a long non-coding RNA of Ornithorhynchus anatinus (platypus), 485 nucleotides long. RefSeq lists it as uncharacterized. The record is from RefSeq and is a predicted model, not a curated record. NCBI's taxonomy places the organism in Eukaryota, Metazoa, Chordata, Mammalia, Monotremata, Ornithorhynchidae. The transcript has 3 exons.
UCUCUCUGUUGCCGGGUCGUCCGUGCCCAGCGCUUCGCUCAGGGUCUGCACAUAAUAAACGCUCCAGAAUACGGAGCCUGCGGGGCUGCGAGCGGGAGGGGACAGGAGCCCAGCCACAGGUUUUCCGAGAAGUCUGAGGGAAAACACCGAGGCAGAAACGCCGUAAAAGAAAAAAAAUAUUCUCAAAAGACAAAAGUUACUAGUGAGGGACUCCGAAGCCAGUCGGAAUCGAGGGAAAAUUUCCUGAGCUAAGCAGGGUUAUCAUUUUUCCUGUAAUUUUCAUGAUGGAAGGAGAGUCGAUGUAAAGAUUUUUUCCACAGAAAAUUCCCUAAACCACGUUUAGGACCAGAAUGUCGAAAAAGAUCGGCCUCCACCCCAGCAGCCGCUCUGAGACCAGCUCUAACUGGGACUUCAGCUCCAGCCUGACUAGCACCGGAAACUCCAGAGAGAAAGAGGAAGUCAGUGAGAUAUCAGACUCCAGUAAA